UACGUAGGGUGCGAGCGUUAAUCGGAAUUACUGGGCGUAAAGCGUGCGCAGGCGGGCUUUUAAGCCAGACGUGAAAUCCCCGGGCUUAACCUGGGAAUGGCGUUUGGGACUGGGAGUCUGGAGUGCGGCAGAGGAGACUGGAAUUCCUGGUGUAGCAGUGAAAUGCGUAGAUAUCAGGAGGAACACCGGUGGCGAAGGCGGCCCCCUGGUUGGAUACUGACGCUGAGACGCGAAAGCGUGGGGAGCAAACAGG
This 253-nucleotide ribosomal RNA is filed under the name uncultured bacterium. Its description in RNAcentral is "partial 16S ribosomal RNA". It matches the Rfam family "Bacterial small subunit ribosomal RNA", at positions 524 to 776 of the family's 1533-position model. The record is from RNAcentral.